Molecule: ribosomal RNA, 534 nt
Filed under: Arsenophonus endosymbiont of Bemisia tabaci
Lineage: Bacteria; Pseudomonadati; Pseudomonadota; Gammaproteobacteria; Enterobacterales; Morganellaceae
Description: bacterial LSU rRNA
Rfam family: Bacterial large subunit ribosomal RNA
Source: RNAcentral
CGAGGCGAACCGGGGAAACUGAAACAUCUCAGUACCCCGAGAAAAAGAAAUCAACCGAGAUUCCCCCAGUAGCGGCGAGCGAACGGGGAGCAGCCCAGAGUCAACAUCAAUAUUUACCACAGGAGAAGGGUCUGGAAAAGCCGGCAAUAAAGGGUGAUAGCCCCGUAUCUAAAGCGGUAAGUGUUGUGAACUCGAAGAGUAGGGCGGGACACGUGUUAUCCUGUCUGAAUAUGGGGGGACCAUCCUCCAAGGCUAAAUACUCCUGACUGACCGAUAGUGAACCAGUACCGUGAGGGAAAGGCGAAAAGAACCCCGGCGAGGGGAGUGAAAUAGAACCUAAAACCGUGUACGUACAAGCAGUAGGAGCACCCGAAAGGGUGUGACUGCGUACCUUUUGUAUAAUGAGUCAGCGACUUAUAUUCUGUAGCAAGGUUAACCGCAUAGGGGAGCCGUAGGGAAACCGAGUCUUAACUGGGCGUUAAGUUGCAGGGUAUAGACCCGAAACCCGGUGAUCUAGCCAUAAGCAGGUUGAAG